UGUUGUAAUAAAAAGUCAUCAGAUUUCCAUGCAUUUUUAGAACAAGUUGGGCGUUUUCAAGGAAAACAAUAUUGGAUUGAAGAAACGAAAAUUUAAGAAAAUACUAACUGCCGUUUAGACUGGCAUCAGAGUGGACCUUGGGUUGUAAUAUCAAUCUUUGCCAAGAAAUAUGACCCAAACAAUUAUUUUGUGAAAUUGUCUCCAGUAAAACUGUCUGUGAAACUAUACUUCCCUUUUAACAAUUCUUUUGUGUUUUCUAAAAACAUGGAACUUUAUGGGAUUGUCGACGUUAAUGCAUGUUGUGUGUCCUUGUUGCCUAUAAAAGUUGAAAUAAAACUUAAAAAAGCAGAAGCAGUGUCAUGGGGUGUAUUGGAAUAUCGAAAGCGUAAAAUUACAAACGGUACGAAACAAACUUUUAAUUCAGGAACAAAUGACGAACAUAAAAAAUUCAAAUGUCUUUGUUGAAAGAGUUGACUUUGGUCUAUUUAAAUAUAUAGUAGUUUAAGUAUUGAAUAUUUCCCAAUUUCAACUAAAUCAUAGGUAUACAACAUAUUCAUCAGUAAACUAUUUAGCUGAAAAUAUUUAAACGAGA
Metopolophium dirhodum (rose-grain aphid) is the source of this 592-nucleotide long non-coding RNA. RefSeq lists it as uncharacterized. The record is from RefSeq and is a predicted model, not a curated record. The transcript is spliced from 3 exons. Lineage: Eukaryota; Metazoa; Arthropoda; Insecta; Hemiptera; Aphididae.